UGGGCUUGAACUGCAGUGGACCGGUGCAGAGAUGUGCCUUUUCGCAAGAACUGCUGCAGAGGUGCUGCAUGGCUGUCGUCAGCUCGUGUCGUGAGAUGUUGGGUUAAGUCCCGCAACGAGCGCAACCCUUACCCGUAGUUGCCAGCGCGUCAUGGCGGGAACUCUACGGGGACUGCCCGGGUUAACCGGGAGGAAGGUGGGGAUGAUGUCAAGUCCUCAUGGCCCUUAUGUCCG
This 234-nucleotide ribosomal RNA is filed under the name uncultured bacterium. RNAcentral describes it as "partial 16S ribosomal RNA". It matches the Rfam family "Bacterial small subunit ribosomal RNA", at positions 977 to 1209 of the family's 1533-position model. The record is from RNAcentral.